CCUCGACUUUAACAUUGGAGGUACUUGCUGGAUGAUUAAAAAGUAAGUGCUUCCAUGUUUUAGUUGUGG
This 69-nucleotide microRNA precursor is filed under the name Manacus vitellinus (golden-collared manakin). RNAcentral's name for it is "mir-302 microRNA precursor family". It matches the Rfam family "mir-302 microRNA precursor family". Lineage: Eukaryota; Metazoa; Chordata; Aves; Passeriformes; Pipridae. The record is from Rfam by way of RNAcentral.